ACAAUGCUAGCUCAGUCAGUAGAGCAUGAGACUCUUAAUCUCAGAGUUGUGGGUUCGUGCCCCACGUUGGGUG
Molecule: transfer RNA, 73 nt
Filed under: Erinaceus europaeus (western European hedgehog)
Lineage: Eukaryota; Metazoa; Chordata; Mammalia; Eulipotyphla; Erinaceidae
Rfam family: tRNA
About the family: Transfer RNA (tRNA) molecules are approximately 80 nucleotides in length. Their secondary structure includes four short double-helical elements and three loops (D, anti-codon, and T loops). Further hydrogen bonds mediate the characteristic L-shaped molecular structure. tRNAs have two regions of fundamental functional importance: the anti-codon, which is responsible for specific mRNA codon recognition, and the 3' end, to which the tRNAs corresponding amino acid is attached (by aminoacyl-tRNA synthetases). tRNAs cope with the degeneracy of the genetic code in two manners: having more than one tRNA (with a specific anti-codon) for a particular amino acid; and 'wobble' base-pairing, i.e. permitting non-standard base-pairing at the 3rd anti-codon position.
Source: Rfam by way of RNAcentral